This is a long non-coding RNA of Cryptotermes secundus, 472 nucleotides long. RefSeq lists it as uncharacterized. The transcript has 4 exons. The record is from RefSeq and is a predicted model, not a curated record. NCBI's taxonomy places the organism in Eukaryota, Metazoa, Arthropoda, Insecta, Blattodea, Kalotermitidae.
UCAGAGAUUACUCUGUCUUUCGAAUGAUUGAAGUGAAUACUUUUUUUACGGCUGAAUUAUUCGAUCGUUUAAUUAUCGAUAGCUUUCUUUCGAUUCUGUAUAUCACUGUCUGUAGUUGUGACAUUUCUAAUGACCAAUUUAAGUGUUGCAGAGAUCUUGCAGGAAUUCAUAAAGAAGCAAACACUGGGUCCAGAAAUUCGAAGACAAGGAAUGCUUCGUAGCUCCAAGCCAUGGAACGGACCAGCCCCAUGACGCCUGCGCCUACCGUAGCAGUCACCAAUGUCGUCCGUCGGCCUACCCUGUACGGAGGAAGACUCAGAUGUGCCGAAGAGAUCGCCAAAGCUCGUCAGCCCAGAUUCACUAAGACAGCGAUCUCCUGUUUGCUUAUCUUGUGAACAGCCCCCCUCCCCUCGGCCUGUGAAACUUGCUUACAUGAUGGGGUUUCACGGCAUCUUCUUGAGGCAGCCACAAC